Molecule: ribosomal RNA, 253 nt
Filed under: uncultured bacterium
Lineage: Bacteria
Description: partial 16S ribosomal RNA
Rfam family: Bacterial small subunit ribosomal RNA
Source: RNAcentral
UACGUAGGGGGCAAGCGUUGUCCGGAUUUAUUGGGCGUAAAGCGCGUGUAGGCGGCCCUGCAAGUCGGAUGUGAAAUCCCACGGCUCAACCGUGGAAGUGCAUUCGAAACUGCAGGGCUAGAGUCCUGGAGAGGAAGGUGGAAUGCUUGGUGUAGAGGUGAAAUUCGUAGAUAUCAAGCGGAACACCGGUGGCGAAGGCGGCCUUCUGGACAGUGACUGACGCUGAGGCGCGAAAGCUAGGGUAGCAAACGGG